Non-coding RNA from Heterocephalus glaber (naked mole-rat), 1157 nucleotides. The record is from RefSeq and is a predicted model, not a curated record. Lineage: Eukaryota; Metazoa; Chordata; Mammalia; Rodentia; Bathyergidae.
UCUUCAGCAGGGACAGAUAGAGAUCAGAUUGUUGAAUUAGGUCGUGUGUGUCAGGAAGCUGUUUGAUCUCAAUUUUCUCAGGUGGAUAUUUUUAGCUUCUGAGCAGUCAUCAUGGGUGAAAUCAUUCCUUUGCCAAAGUAUGUUGGACAGUUCCCUGGUGACAGGUUCUAUAGAAACUCAGAGCUGUGUUGUUAGCAAAGUGAGACAGGAAGAGGAGUCCAUUGUAUUCUGGAGAUGGUAAUAGGACUGCUCUAUCUCCUCAUCACAGACCAGCCAUGGGAACAAUGUCCCAUUUGCAGUGGAUCUGCAGCGACUGUUUUUAAACCAAAAUUAUAAAACAGAAUGAUAUUUCUUUCAGGCUAGAGAAUUCCAGGACAGAAGAGAAAUGUGGACGGAUAAAUUAUGAAUUAGUCUGGACUUUCAGUAUGAGAAUCCUGCUAUUUAUACUUAAGUUUGAUAUGGAAUGCCUGGAAAUGUGGCAAUAAAUUGAAGUUGAAGUUUUAUUUGAGGCAAUAACUUUCUUUUUAUCUUUGUUGGAGCAUCAGUAAGAUAUUAUAAAGGAGUUUUAGAAGGGCUGGAUGCUAUAACCUUCAUGGCUCUUUAUAUUGCUUGCCAUAAAGGGAUUAUGAGUUAUUGAUGGGGACAUUGUUGACAGAGUUUUAAGGUGAUUUGACUACCUCCAUGUAACUACUGAGUUUAGUUGUCAUGGUUGAUAUUACAAAAAUUACUUAAGGGAUAAUACAUUUUUAUAAUAUAUUUAGAAUAAAUUCAGUGAUAUUUAAGCCACAUGAAUACAUUUCCAGUUUUGUGGUUGUCUUUUUUAAAAAAAUGAAGUCUGAAAGUUGUGUUUUAUAAGUCAGAUUUUUAUUCUUCCUAUUGUACAACAUACAGAUAAUUAUGUGCUAAGCGCCCAUAAGAGGGGAACAGUGGGAGAUGCCAGGACACGUAGGAGAGGUCCUUGUCCUCAUGGUUCUCAGCAAUCUGCUUGGAAAAACCUGGCAAAAGUACAUGGAAUAAUUGAGCAACAAUAACCACAUGAUGAUUGUGAUCUUAUUGUAGGUGUCACGCAGAAUGUCAAAACAGAAGGCAUUUGUGUAAGCCUCUUGUUGAAGGAAAUAGAUUUGUUCUCAGAAGACUAAUAAAAAUGGAAGAAACCA